This 405-nucleotide ribosomal RNA is filed under the name uncultured soil bacterium. RNAcentral's name for it is "partial 16S ribosomal RNA". It matches the Rfam family "Bacterial small subunit ribosomal RNA", at positions 258 to 693 of the family's 1533-position model. The record is from RNAcentral.
UAAUGGCUCACCAAGGCGACGAUCGGUAGCUGGUCUGAGAGGAUGACCAGCCUCACUGGUACUGAGACACGGCCCAUACUCCUACGGGAGGCAGCGGUGGGGAAUAUUGGACAAUGGGCGCAAGCCUGAUCCAGCCCUGCCGGGUGGAUGAUGAAGGCCCUAGGGUUGUAAAGUCUUUUUAACGGGGAAGAUAAUGACGGUCCCCGUAGAAUAAGCCCCUGCUAUCUUCCUGCCAGCAGCCGCGGUAAUACGAAGGGGGCUAGCGUUGCUCGGAAUUACUGGGCGUAAAGCGCCGUCGGCGUCUUCUUAGUCGGUGGGAAAUGCUGGAGCUCACUCAGAACUGCCUUCAUCUGGGACCUCGGUUCGGGGGGGGGGGUGAACUGCGAGUGUAGGGUGAAUUCGUAU